RNAcentral lists this ribosomal RNA (406 nucleotides) under uncultured bacterium. RNAcentral describes it as "partial 16S ribosomal RNA". It matches the Rfam family "Bacterial small subunit ribosomal RNA", at positions 30 to 526 of the family's 1533-position model. The record is from RNAcentral.
AUUGAACGCUGGCGGCAGGCCUAACACAUGCAAGUCGAACGAGUGGCGGACGGGUGAGUAAUGUCUGGGAAACUGCCCGAUGGAGGGGGAUAACUACGGGAAACGGUAGCUAAUACCGCGUACCAUUGGAUGUGCCCAGAUGGGAUUAGGUAGUUGGUGGGGUAACGGCUCACCUAGGCGACGAUCCCUAGCUGGUCUGAGAGGAUGACCAGCCACACCGGAACUGAGACACGGUCCAGACUCCUACGGGAGGCAGCAGUGGGGAAUAUUGCACAAUGGGCGCAAGCCUGAUGCAGCCAUGCCGCGUGUAUGAAGAAGGCCUUCGGGUUGUAAAGUACUUUCAGUGGGGAGGCGUUAACCGCAGAAGAAGCACCGGCUAACUCCGUGCCAGCAGCCGCGGUAAUUC